Molecule: long non-coding RNA, 150 nt
Organism: Oxyura jamaicensis (ruddy duck)
Lineage: Eukaryota; Metazoa; Chordata; Aves; Anseriformes; Anatidae
Exons: 3
Source: RefSeq, a predicted model, not a curated record
UCCUAGCCCAGUCAGCAAUAAAGACAGCAUCUAAGAGUGACCUGGCUAGACAGCAAGGAGCUAGGGAAUGAACAAUGCAUUUUCCACGUGCAACAUUUACCAAUAGACUUAAAAACAUAACACAAUUCAAAACAUGACACCUGCCCCAAG